GUGUGUGAAGAAGGUCUUCGGAUUGUAAAGCACUUUAAGUUGGGAGGAAGGGUUGUAGAUUAAUACUCUGCAAUUUUGACGUUACCGACAGAAUAAGCACCGGCUAACUCUGUGCCAGCAGCCGCGGUAAUACAGAGGGUGCAAGCGUUAAUCGGAAUUACUGGGCGUAAAGCGCGCGUAGGUGGUUUGUUAAGUUGGAUGUGAAAGCCCCGGGCUCAACCUGGGAACUGCAUCCAAAACUGGCAAGCUAGAGUACGGUAGAGGGUGGUGGAAUUUCCUGUGUAGCGGUGAAAUGCGUAGAUAUAGGAAGGAACACCAGUGGCGAAGGCGACCACCUGGACUGAUACUGACACUGAGGUGCGAAAGCGUGGGGAGCAAACAGGAUUAGAUACCCUGGUAGUCCACGCCGUAAACGAUGUCAACUAGCCGUUGGAAUCCUUGAGAUUUUAGUGGCGCAGCUAACGCAUUAAGUUGACCGCCUGGGGAGUACGGCCGCAAGGUUAAAACUCAAAUGAAUUGA
RNAcentral lists this ribosomal RNA (520 nucleotides) under Pseudomonas sp. RNAcentral's name for it is "bacterial SSU rRNA". It matches the Rfam family "Bacterial small subunit ribosomal RNA", at positions 401 to 913 of the family's 1533-position model. The record is from RNAcentral. Lineage: Bacteria; Pseudomonadati; Pseudomonadota; Gammaproteobacteria; Pseudomonadales; Pseudomonadaceae.